Micropterus salmoides (largemouth bass) is the source of this 480-nucleotide long non-coding RNA. RefSeq lists it as uncharacterized. The record is from RefSeq and is a predicted model, not a curated record. The transcript is spliced from 2 exons. Lineage: Eukaryota; Metazoa; Chordata; Actinopteri; Centrarchiformes; Centrarchidae.
CUCUCUGUCAGCCAAGGACAAAUUGACUGAGCCUACUCAAUGCUUCAAGCCUGGCAGCUUCCAGUCAUCUUGUCAAUCAAUGAAUCCAUACGAAGCUUGUCUCACCCAGGCCUGACACAGUAUGGCACAGCACUUUUUGAAGAGCACGAAAAGACAUGGAUACACCAUCAUACCCAACAGUGUGGCAACAAUAUGACAGAGCCCCGCGCUUCCGGUGCAUCAAUCCUCGUGUCAGUGCCUGGGUCCCGGUGUCGCGAGGAGUGAUGGCCGUGCGGUGAUUAUAACGGAAUAAAAAGACGUAAUGAAGUGCUUUCCGCCCCGUUAUUCUCGUGUGCCCGGCUGCUGUCAGACACCUCCACGCUGCCUUGGUGCUCCACUCCUCAACCUCUCCAUCUCUCCAUCCCAUCACUGUGUGCCACAGCCCAGCUUGUUUUCUGCUUAUUUAAUUUUUCUUUCAUAUAAAGUUCUUAUGAAGUUGAA